GGCGAACGGGUGAGUAACACGUGAGCAACCUGCCCCAAGCUUUGGGAUAACCCUCGGAAACGGGGGCUAAUACCGAAUAGGACUGCUGGCCGCAUGGCUGGUGGUGGAAAGUUUUUCGGCUUGGGAUGGGCUCGCGGCCUAUCAGCUUGUUGGUGGGGUGAUGGCCUACCAAGGCGACGACGGGUAGCCGGCCUGAGAGGGCGACCGGCCACACUGGGACUGAGACACGGCCCAGACUCCUACGGGAGGCAGCAGUGGGGAAUAUUGCACAAUGGGCGGAAGCCUGAUGCAGCGACGCCGCGUGAGGGAUGACGGCCUUCGGGUUGUAAACCUCUUUCAGCAGGGACGAAGCGAGAGUGACGGUACCUGCAGAAGAAGCACCGGCCAACUACGUGCCAGCAGCCGCGGUAAGACGUAGGGUGCGAGCGUUGUCCGGAUUUAUUGGGCGUAAAGAGCUCGUAGGCGGCUUGUCGCGUCGACCGUGAAAACUUGGGGCUCAACCCCAAGCCUGCGGUCGAUACGGGCAGGCUAGAGUUCGGUAGGGGAGACUGGAAUUCCUGGUGUAGCGGUGAAAUGCGCAGAUAUCAGGAGGAACACCGGUGGCGAAGGCGGGUCUCUGGGCCGAUACUGACGCUGAGGAG
RNAcentral lists this ribosomal RNA (641 nucleotides) under Micromonospora sp. I12A-02944. RNAcentral's name for it is "bacterial SSU rRNA". It matches the Rfam family "Bacterial small subunit ribosomal RNA", at positions 97 to 753 of the family's 1533-position model. The record is from RNAcentral. Lineage: Bacteria; Bacillati; Actinomycetota; Actinomycetes; Micromonosporales; Micromonosporaceae.